GUGUUUGUGUGUGUGUUAGUGCUCUUGGACAGACCAAUGGACAAUAUGGAGGUGGCACUGGACUCCAGGAUGCAGUGCAUCGUGAUCCUGACCAGAUAAAAAUGUAUGCUAUGGUCACUCGAAAAACCAGUUGACCGGAAGUUCCAGCGAGUGUUUGUGAGUGUGUUGGUGCUUUUGGACAGAUCACAGGAUAUGUAUGGAUAGAUAUGGAGGAUGUAUAUACGGAGAUCAUCGUUCAAGACUUCAGAGCAUCGAAAACUUAUUCAGUGGAACGGUGAAAUGUAAAUUGGCUAAUUUCUUUUUAUGUACUGUUGGCAAUGUUUUCCGAUAUCCUUAUGUGCAUAUAUUUCUGUAAACUGAUGCAAACACACCACCAUUCAAAAAUUUUAU
Molecule: long non-coding RNA, 390 nt
Organism: Drosophila biarmipes
Lineage: Eukaryota; Metazoa; Arthropoda; Insecta; Diptera; Drosophilidae
Exons: 3
Source: RefSeq, a predicted model, not a curated record